GAUGAAGAACGUAGCGAAAUGCGAUAAUUAAUGUGAAUUGCAGAAUUCCGUGAAUCAUCGAAUCUUUGAACGCACAUUGCGCCCUGUGGUAUUCCGCAGGGCAUGCCUGUUCGAGCGUCAUUUCAACCCUCAAGCUCUGCUUGGUGUUGGGCCCUGCCCGCUGCGGCCGGCCCUAAAGACAGUGGCGGUGCCGCCUGGCCCUGAGCGUAGUACAUCUCUCGCUCCAGUGCCCGGUGGUAGCCUGCCAGAACCCCAACUCUCGUGGUUGACCUCGGAUCAGGUAGGGAUACCCGCUGAACUUAAGCAUAUCAAUAAGCGGAGGA
This 323-nucleotide unclassified non-coding RNA is filed under the name soil metagenome. Its description in RNAcentral is "partial contains 5.8S ribosomal RNA, internal transcribed spacer 2, and large subunit ribosomal RNA". The stretch from base 1 to 120 matches the Rfam family "5.8S ribosomal RNA", at positions 35 to 154 of the family's 154-position model. The record is from RNAcentral.